UGUAACUCAUGCAGGGCAAGCUGUUGUGCGGAUGCGUGACUCGACUGCAGCGUUGAGAUGGAGGACACGUGCGCCACGGUGUCAUGCUUCACCAUCGUCCCCCUAGCCUGCUUGCAAGGCGCCGCGACCUCGAUGGUAAAGAAAAACUCAGAUAUAUCCUUGUACGUAUUUAUUAGGUUGGUCAAUUUGGGGAUUUAGGCUGAACAUUCAUAUUGAUUUGUUGUGGUCAGCGAUAGUUUCGUUUCACUUCUCAGCAGAUUCUUCAAUCUGAUCAGGAUGUGCAUGAAGUCUGCCCAUCAAUAUCAGAUAGUGGGAUUGAUGGGAUUGACGGUGCUGCUCUUGGAGGGGAUUCAUGACGCGAAUUCGUGCAGCUGGAGUAAUGCUUUUCAUUUAGCUGAAUGUAAUGCGAGCGACACUCAGAAACAUUGUGAAGAUGAUCCUGACAAAGUGAGGCAGGUGGAUGUUUUAGUUAGGAAUGUUUGCGGAUGGAUGUGAAAUGAGCUGUUCAGUACUCUCCUAUUUAGUUUCACCAUUUAGGAAUUUAUUUAUAUGGUAAGAAUUGUUAGAUUGGUUUGUGAUGAAAUGUUGCUUGGAAAUAAAUGCAUGAUAGGUUAGAGUGGGGGCCAAAAUGGUUACAAUGCUCUUGUAGGAUGAUGGAUUUUUCCAUGUAGUUUUGUAGCCUUCAUGGAAGUAAGAUUUUGUAGGCUUGUUUGGACAUUUUUGUUUGUUUCGGAAACCAGAGCAGUUCACUUUAUCCAUGUGUUUUUUCUUCUUCUCUGCACUCUACUCUUUGGGAUGAUCAAUAUGCAUUACUCUUUUUCAAAGUUUCUAUUUGGAACUAUUUUUUAUUAAACCACUGUAAGAAAAGUUUCACAAGAAACCUAAACUCUGUAACAGGUGGUCAUUAAAAAUUGUUUGCCAUGUGUAAUGAAUGUUUGCCACAAGUUAGAGAACAUAACUGGUCGUAGUUGUUUGUCAGUUCGUUUUGCUCAUGG
Molecule: long non-coding RNA, 995 nt
Filed under: Triticum aestivum (bread wheat)
Lineage: Eukaryota; Viridiplantae; Streptophyta; Magnoliopsida; Poales; Poaceae
Description: long non-coding RNA (TAES_LNC028223)
Source: RNAcentral